Molecule: ribosomal RNA, 253 nt
Filed under: uncultured bacterium
Lineage: Bacteria
Description: partial 16S ribosomal RNA
Rfam family: Bacterial small subunit ribosomal RNA
Source: RNAcentral
GCAAGUCGAACGCGAAAUUUUUUCUUCGGAAGAAAGAGUAGAGUGGCGCACGGGUGAGUAACGCGUAAGUAAUCUACCCUGGCAUCUGGGAUAACUCAGCGAAAGCUGUGCUAAUACCGGAUACGUUGAUUUAUCAAGAAAGGUGGCCUCUGAUUUAAGCUACUGUGCUGGGAGGAGCUUGCGUACCAUUAGCUAGUUGGUAGGGUAAAGGCCUACCAAGGCGACGAUGGUUAGCGGGUCUGAGAGGAUGAUC